This 372-nucleotide ribosomal RNA is filed under the name uncultured bacterium. Its description in RNAcentral is "bacterial SSU rRNA". It matches the Rfam family "Bacterial small subunit ribosomal RNA", at positions 143 to 507 of the family's 1533-position model. The record is from RNAcentral.
AUAACGUAGCGAAAGUUACGCUAAUACCGCAUACGAUCUACGGAUGAAAGCGGGGGGACUCGCAAGAGCCUCGCGCGAUUGGAGCGGCCGAUAUCAGAUUAGGUAGUUGGUGGGGUAAAGGCUCACCAAGCCAACGAUCUGUAGCUGGUCUGAGAGGACGACCAGCCACACUGGAACUGAGACACGGUCCAGACUCCUACGGGAGGCAGCAGUGGGGAAUUUUGGACAAUGGACGCAAGUCUGAUCCAGCCAUUCCGCGUGCAGGAUGAAGGCCCUCGGGUUGUAAACUGCUUUUGUACGGAACGAAAAGGUUUCUAUUAAUACUAGGAGCUCAUGACGGUACCGUAAGAAUAAGCACCGGCUAACUACGUG